This 253-nucleotide ribosomal RNA is filed under the name uncultured bacterium. Its description in RNAcentral is "partial 16S ribosomal RNA". It matches the Rfam family "Bacterial small subunit ribosomal RNA", at positions 524 to 776 of the family's 1533-position model. The record is from RNAcentral.
AACGUAGGAGUCAAACGUUAUCCGGAGUUACUGGGCGUAAAGGGCGUGUAGGUGGUUGCGUAAGUCUGGCGUGAAAUUUUUCGGCUUAACCGGGAAAGGUCGUCGGAUACUGCGUAGCUAGAGGACGGUAGAGGCGUGUGGAAUUCCGGGUGUAGUGGUGAAAUGCGUAGAGAUCCGGAGGAACACCAGUGGCGAAGGCGACACGCUGGGCCGUACCUGACACUGAUGCGCGACAGCAUGGGGAGCAAACAGG